RNAcentral lists this ribosomal RNA (440 nucleotides) under uncultured bacterium. RNAcentral's name for it is "partial 16S ribosomal RNA". It matches the Rfam family "Bacterial small subunit ribosomal RNA", at positions 338 to 795 of the family's 1533-position model. The record is from RNAcentral.
CCUACGGGUGGCAGCAGUGGGGAAUAUUGCACAAUGGGGGAAACCCUGAUGCAGCGACGCCGCGUGAGUGAAGAAGUAAUUCGUUAUGUAAAGCUCUAUCAGCAGGGAAGAAAAUGACGGUACCUGACUAAGAAGCUCCGGCUAAAUACGUGCCAGCAGCCGCGGUAAUACGUAGGGGGCAAGCGUUAUCCGGAUUUACUGGGUGUAAAGGGAGCGUAGGCGGUUUGGCAAGUCUGAUGUGAACUACCGGGGCCCAACCCCGGGGCUGCAUUGGGAACUGCCAGGCUGGAGUGCGGGAGAGGCAGGCGGAAUUCCUAGUGUAGCGGUGAAAUGCUUAGAUAUCAGGAGGAACACCGGUGGCGAAGGCAGCCUGCUAGACUGCGACUGACGUUGAUGCCCGAAAGCGUGGGGAGCAAACAGGAUUAGAUACCCGAGUAGUC